This is a long non-coding RNA of Fukomys damarensis (Damara mole-rat), 823 nucleotides long. RefSeq lists it as uncharacterized. The transcript has 3 exons. NCBI's taxonomy places the organism in Eukaryota, Metazoa, Chordata, Mammalia, Rodentia, Bathyergidae. The record is from RefSeq and is a predicted model, not a curated record.
UGUUUGCUCUGCCAGUUUCUCCCUACUCAUCACUUUUACUUUCUCGAAUAAACUCUGCCAUUGCUUUUUGAUCAUUUCAUUAACUUCUUUGUUCGAGAUAAGAAGCUCCUGGAAUCCAGCUCCAGAAGGAAAGGCGAGUAACCUCAAACCCAGUAAUGUUUAGUUAGUGAACUCCUUUUUCAGAACAAGCUACCUACAACAUUUUGGCAACCCAAGCCAGGAGAGCACAUUCUGGGGCGGCCAAAAACAAGAAAACAAAAGGUCAGGUACUGAAGACGAAGGAAUGCAUGCAGCUUUUUUCCAGUGCAAAACUUUUGGAUGGGCUCUACAACCAGAGGAUCUCUGGCUGCGGCCUGGACAAACGCAGGUCAUCUAAGGAGAAGCCCAGGGACAUCUAAGGACAUAGUUCUUGUUUCAAGUGCAAGAAGACUGGACACAGGACAUGAAAUUGCACCUAGUUUCUGCCUGGGCCCAGUUCUGCAUGUGUCUGUCUCAUGGCACUGAAGGUUUGAAUGUCGCCACGCUCAGAGAGGGGCUAGCCCAGCCGCAACCCUCAUUUCCUGCUCUGAUGACUGAAGAGGCCCAGGGAAACCUGCAGUGCCCCUGUCCGUGUACACACUAUCUCCUCUGAAGAAACCUGGGUAAAUUUACAUGUCAUGGGUUCACGUUUCACUGCUUUUUUUGAUACAGGGGCAGCUCACUCUCUCUUGACUUCCUUCUCUGGGAAACUUUGACAUCUCUCCUCUAGGUCUAUAGCCAUAGUUGGGGUUGAGGGGACCCCUAGUCAGAGAUUCUUUACUCCUCUGAGGUGUCAUUUUGAGGC